This 74-nucleotide transfer RNA is filed under the name Haematococcus lacustris. RNAcentral describes it as "tRNA-Ile". It matches the Rfam family "tRNA". Rfam says of the family: Transfer RNA (tRNA) molecules are approximately 80 nucleotides in length. Their secondary structure includes four short double-helical elements and three loops (D, anti-codon, and T loops). Further hydrogen bonds mediate the characteristic L-shaped molecular structure. tRNAs have two regions of fundamental functional importance: the anti-codon, which is responsible for specific mRNA codon recognition, and the 3' end, to which the tRNAs corresponding amino acid is attached (by aminoacyl-tRNA synthetases). tRNAs cope with the degeneracy of the genetic code in two manners: having more than one tRNA (with a specific anti-codon) for a particular amino acid; and 'wobble' base-pairing, i.e. permitting non-standard base-pairing at the 3rd anti-codon position. RNAcentral also lists the same sequence under 1 other name. The record is from RNAcentral. Lineage: Eukaryota; Viridiplantae; Chlorophyta; Chlorophyceae; Chlamydomonadales; Haematococcaceae.
GGGCUAUUAGCUCAGUUGGUUAGAGCGCACCCCUGAUAAGGGUGAGGUCGGUAGUUCAAAUCUCCCAUAGCCCA